This 471-nucleotide long non-coding RNA is filed under the name Anas platyrhynchos platyrhynchos (common mallard). Its description in RNAcentral is "lncRNA (ENSAPLG00000023117.1)". The record is from RNAcentral. Lineage: Eukaryota; Metazoa; Chordata; Aves; Anseriformes; Anatidae.
UGGGCACUGGGAGUGCAGUUUUUUAAAUUUUUUUAACAAGGAUUCAGUGAAUACUGAAGCAGCCUCAACACUGAAGGUCUCUACAUUUCUUUACAAAUGUUAUACAGACAUACAAGAAUUUCCAAUUUGCCUUCAUCCCCUUUGGAAUUUGUAUCUAUACAAGAUAUCAGCACUGGAAGGAAAAAAACAUGAUGCUCCUUAUGCAAAUGAAAUUCUCACUGUAAGAAUUUCAUUUCUGAACAGGCUGCAGAAUCAAUGAUCAUCACUGCACACUUCGAGCAUAUUUGGCAGCAAGUCCAAUGCUUUUGAGGGAUUCCAGAAAUGGAGAUUUUAUCAACUGAGGAUACAAUAUCCUUAUUUUUCCAUGCAAGUACAAACCCUGUCUUCACAGCUGUAACCGAGGAAGGAAGCAUUCUUUGCCAGGCGUGAAGAAACUAUUGUUUCUGAAAGACGUUCAUACGGACAAAUCAG